Molecule: long non-coding RNA, 491 nt
Filed under: Mytilus galloprovincialis (Mediterranean mussel)
Lineage: Eukaryota; Metazoa; Mollusca; Bivalvia; Mytilida; Mytilidae
Source: RNAcentral
UGUUAUUUCUUGGAUGAAAGAUUUUGUUUCGAUUCUGUUUUUCACAAAUAAAAAUACUUAACAGUCCAAAUAUACACAUUUGCAUAAAUAAUUUUCAACAGACAACUUUAUAAUAACAAACAAAAUCACAGAUCUAUUUCAUGUAAUAUCAUGUAAUAAAAUGUGGACACAGAUAGAUGUCUCCCAUUAUGUUAAUGCCAUGACAGACCAAAUAUCAUUGCCCUGAAUACACCAAUACACCCAGAUCUUCUUAAAAUGUGGACACAGAUAGAUGUCUCCCAUAAUGUUAAUGCCAUGACAGACCAAAUAUCAUUGACCUGAAUACAACCAGAUCUUGGUAAACUGCUGUGGUAAUAUGAAGCAGGAUAACCUAUAAAUAUGUAUCAUCAUACAAUCAUAAUAAAUGUCAAAAUUAAUGGUUAAGUACAUCCACCCUAUUUUUGUAAAACAAAGUUUUCAUUGUGGAACAUCUGCAAUUAUAAAGAUUUGUC